This 118-nucleotide ribosomal RNA is filed under the name uncultured bacterium. RNAcentral describes it as "partial 16S ribosomal RNA". It matches the Rfam family "Bacterial small subunit ribosomal RNA", at positions 355 to 477 of the family's 1533-position model. The record is from RNAcentral.
UGAGGAAUAUUGCGCAAUGGGGGAAACCCUGACGCAGCGACGCCGCGUGAGUGAGGAAGGUUUUCGGAUCGUAAAGCUCUGUCAGAAGGGAAGAAGUGUUAUACAGUUAACACCUGUA